RNAcentral lists this unclassified non-coding RNA (377 nucleotides) under uncultured bacterium. RNAcentral's name for it is "contains 16S-23S intergenic spacer region". The record is from RNAcentral.
UCCGAGUUGACCCCGGCAGUCUCCCAAGAGUCCCCACCAUUACGUGCUGGCAACAUGGGACAGAGGUUGCGCUCGUUGCGGGACUUAACCCAACAUCUCACGACACGAGCUGACGACAGCCAUGCAGCACCUGUGCAGGCUCCCGAAGGAGCACCGGCUUUCACCGGUUUCACCCUGCAUGUCAAGCCCUGGUAAGGUUCUUCGCGUUGCGUCGAAUUAAGCCACAUGCUCCGCCGCUUGUGCGGGUCCCCGUCAAUUCCUUUGAGUUUUAAUCUUGCGACCGUACUCCCCAGGCGGGAUACUUAACGCGUUAGCUUCGUUACUAAUGGGUUUAACCCCACCAACAACCAGUUGACAUCGUUUAGGGCGUGGACUAC